UAAUACGUAUGGAGCGAGCGUUGUCCGGAAUUAUUGGGCGUAAAGGGUACGCAGGCGGUUUAAUAAGUCGAAUGUUAAAGAUCGGGGCUCAACCCCGUAAAGCAUUGGAAACUGAUAAACUUGAGUAGUGGAGAGGAAAGUGGAAUUCCUAGUGUAGUGGUGAAAUACGUAGAUAUUAGGAGGAAUACCAGUAGCGAAGGCGACUUUCUGGACACAAACUGACGCUGAGGUACGAAAGCGUGGGGAGCAAACA
RNAcentral lists this ribosomal RNA (253 nucleotides) under uncultured prokaryote. RNAcentral describes it as "partial 16S ribosomal RNA". It matches the Rfam family "Bacterial small subunit ribosomal RNA", at positions 521 to 774 of the family's 1533-position model. The record is from RNAcentral.